GACGAACGCUGGCGGCGUGCCUAAUACAUGCAAGUUGAGCGCUGAAGGUUGGUACUUGUACCAACUGGAUGAGCAGCGAACGGGUGAGUAACGCGUGGGGAAUCUGCCUUUGAGCGGGGGACAACAUUUGGAAACGAAUGCUAAUACCGCAUAAAAACUUUAAACACAAGUUUUAAGUUUGAAAGAUGCAAUUGCAUCACUCAAAGAUGAUCCCGCGUUGUAUUAGCUAGUUGGUGAAGUAAAGGCUCACCAAGGCGAUGAUACAUAGCCGACCUGAGAGGGUGAUCGGCCACAUUGGGACUGAGACACGGCCCAAACUCCUACGGGAGGCAGCAGUAGGGAAUCUUCGGCAAUGGACGAAAGUCUGACCGAGCAACGCCGCGUGAGUGAAGAAGGGUUUCGGAUCGUAAAACUCGGUUGGUAGAGAAGAACGUUGGUGAGAGUGGAAAGCUCAUCAAGUGACGGUAACUACCCAGAAAGGGACGGCUAACUACGUG
RNAcentral lists this ribosomal RNA (497 nucleotides) under uncultured bacterium. RNAcentral describes it as "partial 16S ribosomal RNA". It matches the Rfam family "Bacterial small subunit ribosomal RNA", at positions 28 to 507 of the family's 1533-position model. The record is from RNAcentral.